Molecule: long non-coding RNA, 2083 nt
Organism: Gasterosteus aculeatus aculeatus (three-spined stickleback)
Lineage: Eukaryota; Metazoa; Chordata; Actinopteri; Perciformes; Gasterosteidae
Source: Ensembl
CGUGAUCAGCAGCAAACGAACCGAGCACCGAUACAUUUGCUUCGCCUUGCACUGGUUCAUAUUUCGACACAAGCUUCGAAGCAGGAGGGUCGGAGGUAACAACACUAGUUUUUAGUUGUCUAGGAAUAUUUUUGAAUUACUGUCAAGCCUAUGGAAAUAUCUGCUCUUUGCAAGUAAAGAAACCUUUUUUGACUCACUAAAAAACGACUUGUCCCUCUCUGUCUCUGUACUUGAGUCACCACCACUCGUAGCACAGUGGUAGGCAAUCCGCCUGCUGCACGGAGACCCAGGUUCGGAUCCCGACGAUCCUGACACCGUUGUGCUUUAUGAUUUGUUGAAGUGUUUUCCUAUUUGCUGAUUGGGCGACAGUGGCGCAUGGUGUAGAGAAGGUGCGCUGGGAAGUGCAAGGUUGGUGGUUCAAACCCCGGUUGCUCCAUGUCCUGUGUCGAAAUGUCCCUGAGCAAGACAGUUAACCCCUAAUUGCUCCCCGGACUAAGAUGUAAAAAGCCAUGGGUUAAAAAUGCAAUGUAAGUUGCUUUGGAUAAAAGCGUUAGCUAAAUGACAUACUACUGUAGGGAUGUAGGUAAAAGUUUGGUGAAGUUAGAUGAGUGAUAACGAGCAGGACCGGCAAGCAGCUAACCAUGGCAUGGCGGCUAACACUCCCAGCGCUACGUUUAACAUCCAGCCGCCGGCAGGGGCGGACUUACCAUUAGGCGAAACUAGGCGGUUGCCUAGGGCCCCAAGGUCCUGAGGGGCCCCGUAAAAAUCCUCAUACACUUAUGGUUGAUAAAGUUAUUACUUAUUCGCGCAUAUUAAUUAUAUUUAUGAUUAAAAUUCUCUCGCUAAAAUGCCAACGGAAUGCGUAUCGUAUUAUGUGUGUGUCGGGGCCCCCCUUCAGUGUCCACUACAUUGGAUCAGUCCAUCUUUGCUGCGCAUGUGCAGAACGGAUCCAAGAAACGGUCAAAACGAACGGCGCGAAAUGGCGAAAGACAGUAAGAGGACAGUAUCACACGGAUCAAGCGAAGCGACCCCGAAAAGAGGAGGAAGAAGGAAGAAAAACAAACGUCAAAGUUGCAGAAAGUGACAAGUUUCUUCACCGCUCCUGCGGCAGCGGCCAGCAGCAGCAACCCACAACCUGCUCAACCGACACGGACACCUGAGGAGGAUGAACCAAAAUCUUCUCAUUUCAGAGGGCCCCAUGCCUGCCUUUGCCUUGGGCCCCAAAUUUCUUAAAUCCGCCACUGGACGCUGGAGCCCUUUUCCUAGCCGAACGACUGGAGGAAAUGGAUUCGGAGAUUUGAGAGAUUCCAUCAGGCAAGUAACCAGAGGUUACAAGCUCCGAAGUCAACCAGCAGCCUGUUCUCCAGAAAGCAGAGAAAGUCAAGGAAGAGCUCUAGCGAAUGGACGAGCCAACAGACUGGUGUGCCGGUUCGGCGGUCGUACCAAAGAAAAACAGUCCACGCCUGAGACUGUGUGUGCACUAUACUGGCUUGAAUGAGUUGAGUGAAAAGUACAUUCUGCCGUCUGUAGAUCAGUCCCUCGGAAUGCUUGCCGGAGCAAAAGUGUUCAGUAAAUUGGAUGCUUGCAUAGGGUUCUGGCAUAUUCCCUUAGCCGAAGAGUCAGUCAUGUACACCACAUUCAUAACACCCAUCGGGCGGUUCCACUUUAACCGCCUUCCCUUCGGCAUCAACUCAGCACCCGAAUGCUUUUCAGUGCAUAAUGGCCGACGUCAUAGAGGGGUUGGAGGGUGUGGUCUGCCACAUGAAUGACUUACUAGUGUUGGGGGCGGGACCAAGACCAGCACGACACUUGAAUCCAUGUUGUGCUGCAAAGAGUGUAGAAAGCAGGCAUCUGCGGAAAUUCAUUCCUUGGCUGACUGAAAAAGACAAAGCACUCCGGGACCUCCUCUCAAAAAUGAACUGCUGAGUGUGGGACACGGACCAGGUAAUGGCGCUUAAGGAGCUGAAGGAGGCACGUGCUUCUCCAGUGCUGGCCAUGCAUGAGCCAAACAGACACUAAAGUAUCUGCCGAGGCAUCUUCGUAUGGCUUGGGAGGCUUUAUUCUCCAGAAGGUGGAUGGUGAA